CGCCGUCUUCCUCCCCGCGGAGGAGCCGAAGGCCGCCGCCGAGGAAGCGCCGCCCGCUCCGGCUGCGCCGGCGGAGGAGAGCAGCACCACGGAGAAGGAACCGGUGGUGGAAGAAGAGAAGAAGGAGGAGAAGGAGGAGGAGGAGAAGGCUCCCGCUCCUGAGGCGGCGGCGCCGCCUGCAGCUCCGGCGCCGGCCCCGGAGCCGGCGAAGGAGGCGGAAGCAGCAGACCCGCCGCCGAAGGCUUGAACCUCCAUCCCCCACUCUCCCAUGGACUGUAAAAGAACCCCCCGCGUGACCCGAUUUGUUAUUCUUUCCUUUUUUCCUCUCCUCAUCUCUCGCUUCUCCUGCUCUUCUGGUUCGUUGUUCUUGUGAAUGGAUUGUGUAAUCCGACCUCUUCGUCAACCUCUCUCUUCUUCUCCGUUUCCCUCUCUACUGUGUAAUCCGAUCGCCUCCU
This 455-nucleotide long non-coding RNA is filed under the name Spirodela polyrhiza (greater duckweed). RNAcentral describes it as "long non-coding RNA (SPOL_LNC000789)". The record is from RNAcentral. Lineage: Eukaryota; Viridiplantae; Streptophyta; Magnoliopsida; Alismatales; Araceae.